This 774-nucleotide long non-coding RNA is filed under the name Gossypium barbadense (sea-island cotton). Its description in RNAcentral is "long non-coding RNA (GBAR_LNC023394)". Lineage: Eukaryota; Viridiplantae; Streptophyta; Magnoliopsida; Malvales; Malvaceae. The record is from RNAcentral.
CCAAUGAUUAUGAUGGAAAACCAGAAAGGGGGAUUGCUAUUACUAUGUCUUUCAGGCAAUUUGGCCUAAACUCAACCAAAUGCAAUACCUGAAAUUUGCUCCAAUUUGAUUCUUAACACAUUUUCAAUCAAAAGAUAGAUAGAAUAAAGAGACGCUGAUAUUUAUAAUCUUUUUAUCUUUAGUUUCAGCUCAUUAGAAAGCAAAUUACAUGAUAGGUGUAAGGAAUGCAUUCCCAGCAGCAUUUUUAUCUUCAAAACUAUCCAAACCCCAAAACCAAACCCAUAAUUUGAGUACAAACCUUAUACAAAAGCUAGCUACCUCGUAUGCAUCUCUUACAUCCCACGUUCAAAUAAGGGAAAAUAAGAAAAAGAAACGUACAUAACUCGAGAUUAAACAAAGCAGAAACAAAAAAUAAAGGUUAUGUUCUAAGAUUAGAGUCAAGUAAAAUCGGACCGCUACCCUCAAUUCCCCGCAAUGCAACGAUGGUGCUAGCCAGCACAAUUGCAAAGCCUUGUUUGUUUCUUUUGCCAUUCUCUGUCACCCGUAUUUAAAAACCAAGCAGUCAUGCCACCGGCACCAGCUCCUACCGCCAUUUCCCUUAUGUUCCCAGCAGAUAUCAGCAACUCCUUGAGUGCUUCCGGCAGUCAUCUUUUAGAAUCAAUUGCAAUGGAAAGAAAAAUAUAUGUAGCGAAAGUUUGUGCUGAAAAAGCAAAUAUGGCAAAGUAGCUUAGUAAGGAAAAGAGUGUGUGGAUAUAUGCAUAGGGGGACAAGGUG